RNAcentral lists this ribosomal RNA (277 nucleotides) under uncultured bacterium. Its description in RNAcentral is "partial 16S ribosomal RNA". It matches the Rfam family "Bacterial small subunit ribosomal RNA", at positions 28 to 325 of the family's 1533-position model. The record is from RNAcentral.
GAUGAACGCUGGCGGCGUGCCUAACACAUGCAAGUCGAACGCUCUGCGCAAGCAGGGAGUGGCGGACGGGUGAGCAACACGUGGGGAUCUCCCUUCCGGUGAGGAAUACCAGCGAGAAAUCGCUGACAAUACCGCAUAGCUUUCCUUCGGGAAAGAAAGUCGCAAGACGCCAGAAGAUGACCCUGCGCCCGAUUAGCUGGUUGGUGGGGUAAUGGCCUACCAAGGCGACGAUCGGUAGCUGGUCUGAGAGGACGAUCAGCCACACUGGGAUUGAGAA